AAGACUUUAAGUUAAAUAAACUAAAAACCUUCAAAGUUUUAAAUAGGAAAUCCUAAGUCUUG
RNAcentral lists this transfer RNA (62 nucleotides) under Duplodicodrilus schmardae. Its description in RNAcentral is "tRNA-Trp". Lineage: Eukaryota; Metazoa; Annelida; Clitellata; Crassiclitellata; Megascolecidae. The record is from RNAcentral.